Vigna angularis (adzuki bean) is the source of this 1453-nucleotide long non-coding RNA. RefSeq lists it as uncharacterized. The transcript is spliced from 2 exons. Lineage: Eukaryota; Viridiplantae; Streptophyta; Magnoliopsida; Fabales; Fabaceae. The record is from RefSeq and is a predicted model, not a curated record.
GAGUGAGAGAGGAAAAGCAGGAAGAGUGAAAAAGUGUAAUAAAUUAGGGUAGAAAUCGAGGGUUUUGCAGAAGGGCACGUGAUGAGUUUGCAGAGGGAAUCUAAGGAAGGUGAUUCCCGAGACAUAUGGCGUUAAAGCAUCCAACAAAAGCAAAAGAAAGAAAACAGCUAGCACCUCUGCAUCUGGUCCACCACGUUACCAUCAUAUCUUCAUUUACCACACAUUUUUUUAUGAUUUUCAAGAUAAAAAAGCUGAGCUGUGGUGGUGAAAUUUGCAUGCGUUCCCUUUCAUCUGCCUUAUUUAUGGAAGUGAAUGAGAGUAGCUUCCAGUAGGGUUCAGUAGGUAGGGUUUUCAUUAUGGUCAAGGGUUCUCUAUUGACCCUUUACCCUUAACCUUUUUCAAUACCAUUAGGGUUGUUGAGCCUAGAUUUAUCACUGCCUUUUCCAUUUCGAGUACCUCUCCCAUGCCCACUCACUUCAUCUAUAUAAAUAUUGAGUCUUUUCUCACAAACAAUCUUGUGGAGAUCCUAGAUCUCAGAUCUAAGCCUAUUGUUUUGCUGUUCUUUCUCAGAAAUCUUGAAAGAAAGAAAGGGUCCUGCUGUGUUUUUCCUUCAGGUCUCAGGUCUCUGGUCUUGAAAGAAAGAUAGGGUUCUGCCUUCAGGUCUCAGGAAAGUUUUCAGGUUAUGGUUGAAGGACGAACAGAAAAGGGGUUAUGGAGUGGAGCUCCUUGAAGUCCAAUCGAGGAUGUUACUGGGUGGGUUGAGCUGCUUAGCUAUGGAUCCCACAGUUCUACCCAUCAACGGCUUUUGUGGUAGUCUUGUGGCUUCCAUAUCUGGGGAGCUUAAUCUGCCUCUGUCGUUUUAUCCUUCUUUGGAUUGAAGGGAGCUCUACACCUUUCUCUCCUUCCAUCUGUCAUAGUGUCUUUUUGCUGUUGAACAACCUUGCUCCAGUGAUGAACAGGUGUUUGGAAUAGUUCUGGUUAAUUUUCAAUUCAUUGAGAUUCUGCUAUGAUUUACUGAUAUUUUUUAACUGGUUUUUUUGGAUCUGGUUUUGUGUGCUUCGAAAAGCAUGGUUAGACAUUUGAUUUAUACAUGUUUUUGGAUUUUUUUUUCUGCCUAACUCUUUCUGCAGAUUCGUGUACUCGACCUUCAUUUAGGGUCGAGUUUUCUGGAUCAUCGUUGUCUACUGAAUGAUGAUACGUAUCACAAGAUUUUGGAUAAGUAGAGAUCUGGAUCUGUGUUGAAGAUAAUUGGACGGUGAUGUGACAUAAGCAGCAUGAAACACUUCCAUUGGUGUUCGAUUCCUUCUUUGUUCAAGAUUGUUUUAUUUUCGAAUGUAACACUGAAAUGCUUUAGGGUAAGAAACUAAUGUGUACUAAAUAAUCAAGUAUAUAAAUUAACAUCAAAGGUUUAUGUUAUAUAUAAAAAAAAUGAAAAAAAAUAUUGUUUCUGAAA